AUGUUUGCAUUUUCCCCUGUAAUAAACUCUCCUGCCUUGGUUCUCCCUUUUGCCUAUUUAUAGACAAGGACUCUUUCUCAAACCUUGCCUCGAAGUGGAAACCCUGGCUACAUUGUUGGAGCACCAUUGUUGAUUACAAAUGAUGGUGCCAGGCAGCAUAUGACCAUUUUACAAAGCCAAGGUGAUGGAAGUUGCUCACAGUUCCUCAGGCAGAAAGUACGGUUUGGAAGAAAUACAAAGACAGGAUGCAAGCUCAGACUAUCCCAAGUACUGGAAGAAGGUGACUGUAGUUACAUCCAGCAAAAGUUGUAUAAGGCACUCCAGGGGAUGAAUAGAGUGGAAGACCUUGCUAUAACUGGCAAUGCUCGUUCAAUUCGGGCAGAGGAAUGGACCACCAUUCUGAUUCGGAACUGUAGUG
This is a non-coding RNA of Tinamus guttatus (white-throated tinamou), 418 nucleotides long. The record is from RefSeq and is a predicted model, not a curated record. NCBI's taxonomy places the organism in Eukaryota, Metazoa, Chordata, Aves, Tinamiformes, Tinamidae.